RNAcentral lists this small RNA (804 nucleotides) under Pongo abelii (Sumatran orangutan). RNAcentral describes it as "retained intron". Lineage: Eukaryota; Metazoa; Chordata; Mammalia; Primates; Hominidae. The record is from RNAcentral.
GUAGCCGUGGCAGCGGCCGUGGCAGGCUGGCUGGGUACCGGCUGCCGCUGACCCGGGAGACGCUACAUCAACCGGGGUUGCAGCGCCCUGCCGCCGCGGGGCCGGCAGCUGAACUAUGUGCUCUUCAGGGCGGGCACCGUGUUGCAUUCAUCUUUGUACCCCCAGCAUCUAGCAGUGUUGGCAUGUAGUAGGCACUCAAGAAAUGUGUGUUGAAUGAACGAUGCCUGUGACAAGCAAGCGGACUUUAUUCUUUCCUGACCCUUGCUCCUAUGACACACCUCCUCCUGACUGCCACUGUCACUCCUUCAGAGCAGAACUCCUCUAGGGAACCUGGAUGGGAAACAGCCAUGGCCAAGGACAUCCUGGGUGAAGCAGGGCUGCACUUUGAUGAACUGAACAAGCUGAGGGUGUUGGACCCAGAGGUUACCCAGCAGACCAUAGAGCUGAAGGAAGAGUGCAAAGACUUUGUGGACAAAAUUGGCCAGUUUCAGAAAAUAGUUGGUGGUUUAAUUGAGCUUGUUGAUCAACUUGCAAAAGAAGCAGAAAAUGAAAAGAUGAAGGUAAGAUGAGCAUGUCUUUUGCCUACAUCUUGGCCUGGGACCCUAGUUCACUACCCUCUCAUCCUUCUUCCCUCUUGAUUUGUUUAGAGGGGUAGAGGGGUGGGUGGGUGAAUUUUUAUUUAAGAUUUUAAUAACUUCUGGUCCACUUAACCUACUGAACUUAUGCCAGUCUUUAUUUCCUUUAAUCUUUUUUUUUUUUGAGACAGAGUCUUGCUCUGUCACCCAGGCUGGAGUGCAGUGGUGC